AUGCUUUUUUUCCUUCUUCUCUUUGUUCGUCUGUUGGCAACGGGCAGCCGGACGUUUCGCCCUUGUGUCCGUGUUGAUGGGAGCAGUCGGCCCGCAUCUCUUUCUUUCUUUCUUUCUACUUUUUGGAGCAGUCGGCCACUCUUUUUUUUAAGCACCCGGCUAGGUUGCCAGUCGGCACACUUUGUUGACCCAGCAGCAGCCGGCCGACUCUUCUUCCUUUUUUUCUUCUUCUGCCGGUUUGGGCAGCCGGCAUCUCUCCACCCGGCCUCGUUUCUUUUUCUCCAGCCGGCCACUUUUUUCAUUUUCUUGGUCAGCCGGAUGGAUCACGCGAGCAGCCGGCCACUUCUUUCUUUCCAGUCGAAUGCACCGGGCAGCGGGGCCGGCUGGCACGCGCCGGGUGCAGGUGGAGGCGGGGCGGCGAGCAGGAGGACGGCCCGUCCGGAUGGGGCAGGAGGGGGCCGGCCGCGGCGCGAGGAGUCAGAGCCGGCACGCCAGGAGCCGGCCAGCAGUCCGGCACGCGUGCGAGGAGGCGGCCGGGUGCGACGAGUCAGCUCGGCAUGCAGCGGAGGCGGCCGAGCGAGUUGUGGGGCCGGCUUGCAGGCGAGGCGGAGGACGCCGGAGUGGCCUCAGGCGACUGGGCCAGAGGCGCGCGGGCGAGCCGGCUGGCCGGGUGCGACGAGGAGCUGCGGGCGGGUCGCGUGGCAAGCCGGCAGACGCGCUGGGGAAGCCGGCGGAGCGCGGGCUCUGCGGAGGCAGCCGCGGACGGGUCCGACCCGACGGUGUGGAGCAGCCGGCGCGACGAGACGGAGCCAGCCGCAAGCGGGGCGGGGCCAAGCGCCGGGACGGCCAGGACGCGCGGGGGCGGAGCAGGCGAAGCCGGUCCAACCGCCGGGCGGCGCGGAGGAGCGCGAAGGGUCUUCGGGCGCAGAUAUUGUGCAGCGACGCGGCGUUGGCGGGCCGUGCAGCCUGGGUCGAUGCAUGCGCGGGGGGACGCGGGAUGCGUGA
RNAcentral lists this ribosomal RNA (1005 nucleotides) under Triticum aestivum (bread wheat). Its description in RNAcentral is "partial small subunit ribosomal RNA". The record is from RNAcentral. Lineage: Eukaryota; Viridiplantae; Streptophyta; Magnoliopsida; Poales; Poaceae.